This 344-nucleotide transfer-messenger RNA is filed under the name Alphaproteobacteria bacterium. It matches the Rfam family "Alphaproteobacteria transfer-messenger RNA". From Rfam's summary of the family: Bacterial tmRNA, also known as 10Sa RNA or SsrA, is named for its dual tRNA and mRNA-like properties. Its role is to liberate the mRNA from a stalled ribosome. The record is from RNAcentral. Lineage: Bacteria; Pseudomonadati; Pseudomonadota; Alphaproteobacteria.
ACUCUUGCGAUUUUUAUUCAUUCUUGCUAUAAUGAAAGAGUCAGUUUAUCUGACUAUGAUGCUAAACGAUAAGCAGAAUAGAUGUAUAGUGGACUCGGGGGCAGUACCCGACACCUCCACCAUUUAUGGGGGUGAAACAGGAUCGACACGCAUAAUAAAGGCUUACUCUUGUAUCCGGCAUGGUUCCGCCGUUAUCGGGCUAAUAAUAUAAACGCAAAUGAUAAUUUUGCUCCAGUUGCAAUGGCUGCUUAAUUUUAAGCAUCUUUUGUAGCGACCAAUCCCUAAACAAUAUGAGCGUUUAGGUGGGGCUUCGUGGAUUGCCUAGCAACAGAAAAUCCACGGCU